Long non-coding RNA from Panicum virgatum (switchgrass), 1577 nucleotides. RefSeq lists it as uncharacterized. The transcript has 3 exons. The record is from RefSeq and is a predicted model, not a curated record. NCBI's taxonomy places the organism in Eukaryota, Viridiplantae, Streptophyta, Magnoliopsida, Poales, Poaceae.
AUAUAUGAGAAUAUUCUCCUGUGUUAAAUGGAAAAUCUACAUCUCAUUAGGCCCUUUGAGAAAAUUCUUGUACAACUAUAUUAAUCAAGAGAAAUAAGAAAAAUCUAAUUAAGUGGACUGGGUUAGAAUGUGGCUUGCAUUGAAAGAGGAGUUUAUAUCUGUUGACACCGUUUUUUGGCUCGUGUCAAUCUGAUGUGGUGAACUGGGCAGCUGAUGGAAGAUUGGCCGAUGCUGGGGCAGAAGGACAAAGGUAGAAGAUGAUUUGGUGACUUGGCAUCACAGCCAAUAGAGCAGAAUUUGCGCUGAUUGAUUACAUCAGCAAGUUAUAGUGUCAAGUCCGAGUUUAGUUUAAGUCAAUUAUUUAGGAAAGUUUUCUUUUCUUUUUGGUCAAGUUAUGUAAGUCGUAAUCGACUAGGAGUUCUAGCUUAGGCUAUAAAUAGCAGACGCGUGGGUAUUGGAAAACAACCAACGUUCAAUCAAACAAACCUUUUACAUCAUUUGCAUCUACUUUUCAUUCUCGACGACUUCGUCAAACCCUAAUUGCAGUAACUUUUCUCUUUUACGAGUUCUUCUGGCUAGCAGGGCUGCAUCGGCUUCGAUCUCCAGCUCGUCGGUCAAAUUGACUGGUACGCAAAGCACCUUCACGCAGCUAUUUGAAGCCUGUACGAUGGAGUAAAGCAGAUCUCUCAGGUCCUCGUGUGGGGCCACGUGGAAGUCCGAUCGUCGGAUUUUUGCGUCAACAAUAUCAAGAACAACAACAAAACUACAACUCAAAUAAAAAAAUCAAAGAAAUUUAUCAAUUGGAUCCUAUAGGACACGGAUUAUUCCGCAUCAUAAAAUAGAUAUAUAUUUAUAUAGAUUCCAAAGAAAAGUUAUUUAAAGCUAGCAAUUGGAUUUGUAUACAAACGACAUAACCACUAUCAAGUAUAUUAGGACCCUCUCUUCUUAUUAAUACAACGGGCAGCUCUUUUGCCGUUCCGUUUCAAAAAAAAAAAGUGUCCUGGCAUGCAUGCACCACAAAGCCGUGGGCGCAGUGGAAGUGUGGCGUCAGUGGUGAAGCCAGGUUAGAGCAAGUAUAAUAAGUCAUACCCAGCAGGCUGUAAGAUCAUAUACGUCAUAAAAAUUCUAUGUGGAGGUGAGAGACUUAACAGCCUGGCUGCAGCACACGCAACCAGAAAAAGAUACCUCUCUCCCUCCCUCCCAAUCCCGUGCGUCCUUUUGCUCCUGCUAUUUGUUCUUUGCAGCCAACCCAUUAGCCUGCCAGGAGCCAGGUUCGCGCAAUGUGGAGCAGGCGAGGAAAGUCAAGCUUUUGCUUGGUCUCGAAUAUAGCAUCAAAGGGAAAGACAAAAGGCAUUUUCUUCAGUUUCUUUUCAGAAAGAUGCACCGUCCUAUGUGUUUCUUCUCCGACAAUGAACAAAUAUUUGAAGGACAUAAAAAGUCCUUCGAAUACUUGUUGAUUGUCGGAGAAGAAAUGCGGAUGUAAAAAGUAAUAAGAUGUUUGUUUUGAGGAACCACCACAUUCUGAUGAGGUGGCGUGCGUCAUAAGUUUAUCGCAUUAAAUUUGGUGAAAUGACUCC